This 462-nucleotide ribosomal RNA is filed under the name uncultured bacterium. Its description in RNAcentral is "bacterial SSU rRNA". It matches the Rfam family "Bacterial small subunit ribosomal RNA", at positions 29 to 498 of the family's 1533-position model. The record is from RNAcentral.
AGUGAACGCUGGCGGUGUGCUUAACACAUGCAAGUCGAACGAGAACGGACUAAAGUUUACUUUAGUUGUCAGCUAAGUGGCGCACGGGUGAGUAAUCUAUAGCUAACCUACCUAAAGAGGGGGAUAAUUAAUGGAAACGUUUUGUAAUACCCUAUACCCUCGUUAAUCUACACAAGUGUAUAAGAGAAAACUUUAGUGCUUUAGGAUGGGGCUGUAUUGUAUCAGCUAGUGUGGUGUAAUGGACCACAAGGCUAUGACGCAUAACUGGUUUGAGAGGAUGAUCAGUCACACUGGAACUGAGACACGGGUCCAGACUCCUACGGGGAGGCAGCAGUGGGGAAUAUUGCACAAUGGGGGAAACCCUGAUGCAGCAACACCGCGUGGAGGAAGACAACUUUUCGGAGCGUAAAACUCCUUUUAUAUCCCAAGAUAAUGACGGUAGGAUAUGAAUAAGCACCGGCU